ACGCCCUAUGCCUCCCAGAGGGCACCGCGCGGUGCUGGGCGUUCCUGUAGUGGGAGUUCUCGGUUGUAGGUUUCUCGCUCCUCCGAGUUUAACGCCGCCAGGAUAUUAGUAGCCACUUGCUCCUAAGUGCGUCUUAAGCACUUGUAUGAGGACUUAUGCUCAAGAAGGUUCCCCAGAAAGUCUUUGUAUUUAUGAGUUUGGGAUGUAGUCGCUGAUCUACGGAGUGAUCAGGCAUUUAAAUGAGACCAGACAUCAAGUUUUUGCUUUUACCAGCCUCCUGAAUGCUUACGUGCGGGCCAGAUGCUCUCUGCUCACAGACAGCAAGCGGAGCUUGAUCUUGAAAGGGGUCGAAUCGGAGCUGUAGCCUUGCUGGCCUACACCAGCGCCACAGCAAUGCAGGAUCUGAGCCGCGUCUGCAACGUACACCACAGCUCACGGCAACGCCGGAUCAUUAACCCACUGAGCAAGGGCAGGGACCGAACCCGCAACCUCAUGGUUCCUAGUUGGAUUCGUUAACCACUGCGCCACGACGGGAACUCCAAAUUCUCCUUUUGUUUUAGCUGGAAAUGGUUCCUGUGCUUCUUCAUUUUGCUUACAUUUUUCUUACUGACAUCACAGCAUAUGGAAGCAUCUGGGCCAGGAAAUCAGAGCCACAGCUGCAACCUACGCACACUGUGGCAAUCCCAGAACCUUAACCUACUGAGCCAGAGCAGGAACACCUCGAUGCGCUGUAAAUUAGAAGUCUGCCCCUCAGGCCAAAGCUUUUAAGCGGGACUCCUUCCACAUGCAGCUGUAGGUGUGGGGUGUCCACGGGAGAAGUUAAUUCUCAUGGGAGAGAUUGUGGAAAAACAGCCACGUAGGAGAACCCAGCUGUUCCUCUGCAAAUAAGCAUGGCAGGAGCUACUUGUGAACAAAAACAGGCCUGGGAGAACGCCAGACGUCCACGUAGAGGUUUUAGCAGCACAGUGGAAGGAAUAAAGAGAUGAAGAAGAAAAAGAAAACAACCUCAUUUGCCUGCAUCAUUUCCAUUCCCCACGCCAGCACUACUGAGCUCUAAGAAGGAGCGUCCCAGCGUGGAAGAGUUUCUUUUGCCGGGUCCGCAAGAGCAGGGUGAGGAACCAUCUUUGCGGGCCUCUUGGAACAGAGUUAGGCUCCAGCUUCUGUUUCACCGCAUCGAGACAGGCAGAGCUAAGAUGUAUAUUUAACCAGCUAGAAACAAGGUAGAAAAAGAGGCUAAGUAGACAUGCAGUGGGGACCGUCACGGUUCAGAGAGUGGCUUUGCAGACAAACAUGGCAGAUUCUGUCACUGAUGGAGCCAGUAGUUGGCGCAACCACCACAGGCCCCUCACUCUCCCUGCAACUCUCAGCAGCUUUCCCCCCACAGGUAUUUGCGCUUGGCAACACCAGCCACCUGUUUCCCUCCUUGAGCCGUGCCUUCGACCCUCUCUGCCUUCUGCAACUUUCAGAGUACAAGAUGCCAGCCUAGGCCCCAACAGGUGGCUCACACUAAACCCCCAUUCAGGGCUGGUAGCACCUGUAGCUCUGUACAGCUUUCUGAUGCCCAUCACCAACCUCCAGUGUGGUGCACACGCUUGGAUGGAAAAUACGCAGCCAUGGGUGAGUGUAUUGCCAGCCAGGGCCACUGCAGCACUCUCUGGGCCCAAAUAAGGCUGUGCCUUCAGUCUGGAACCACUGUGCACCUGCAUGCCAACAUCCAGGGUCUCUACCUCUGCCUGAGAGCACAGCUGAAUGCAGCCCAUGAUACUGGCUCUGGCCCCCAUCACUCCAUGUGUGUCUUUAAUGGGGCUCUGCUACUACAGGCACCUGCUGCUGGUCCCAAAGCCAAGUGCAUGUUAAGCUAAAUAUAUGACACCCCCCGGACAGAGUGCUACCAAAUGCCACAAUACCACACCCUGCACCACUAGAACUCAGGUCAGGGUCAUUCACCGACAGAUGAAAGGUUUCCCUUACCAAAGCUGGUGCAUUGAGUCUAGAAGAGGUUACUCCUUUUUUCAAAUGCACAAAAACCUAUGCAGAGUUACAAGGAUCACAAAGAAUGAGGGAGAUACAGCUUCUCCAAAGUAAUACAGUAAACCUGCAAUACCUGGCCCCAAAGAAAUCAAAGAUCCAGAAACUACGAGAGAAAGUCUUUUUUUUUUUUUUGGUUGAGCGUACAGCAUGUGGACAUUCCAAGGCCAGGGAUCAAAUACACACCAUAGCAGUGACCCAAGCUACUGCAGUGACAACGCCAGAUCCUUUACCUGCUGUGCCACAAGAAAACUCCAAGAGAUUUUCUAAAAAUGGAGAGUAUAAACAAUCCAAAGAUACUAGGAAAACCAUACACAAACAAAAUGAAGAGUUCAGCAAAGAUAGAGAAUGUAAAAGAGACACCCCCCCAAAAAAAAAAAUUUUGGAACUAAAGAAUGCUCUAAGUGAAAUAAAGAAUUCAGUAGCUGACUCAAGCAACCAGAAGAAUCAGUGAGCCCAAAGACAGAUCAACUGAAACAGUCCAA
This 2513-nucleotide long non-coding RNA is filed under the name Sus scrofa (pig). RNAcentral's name for it is "lncRNA (ENSSSCG00035030227.1, ENSSSCG00065031373.1)". Lineage: Eukaryota; Metazoa; Chordata; Mammalia; Artiodactyla; Suidae. The record is from RNAcentral.